GGGGGCGGAGCGACCCGGGAUCGGCGCGAACAGGACGGGCACGCAGGGUCUGAAUGCUGACACCACUAAGUCAGUGGAGCAAGAGUUGUUUCACACCAGUUAAAGAUGGCCCUCACAAAGAAAGUGACUUAACAGCAAAAGACAUACAUUCAGCUUCUACAUACAAACCUUCGAGGAUGAUUGGCAUCAAAUAGUGUUGUAUCAUCAUCAUCAUCAUCUUGCUCUAGUGGUGUCAGCUCCAAGUUUUCUACGUUUGUAUCCAAAACUCCGUAUCUUC
Gallus gallus (chicken) is the source of this 277-nucleotide long non-coding RNA. RefSeq lists it as uncharacterized. The transcript is spliced from 3 exons. The record is from RefSeq and is a predicted model, not a curated record. NCBI's taxonomy places the organism in Eukaryota, Metazoa, Chordata, Aves, Galliformes, Phasianidae.